RNAcentral lists this ribosomal RNA (253 nucleotides) under uncultured bacterium. Its description in RNAcentral is "partial 16S ribosomal RNA". It matches the Rfam family "Bacterial small subunit ribosomal RNA", at positions 524 to 776 of the family's 1533-position model. The record is from RNAcentral.
UACGUAGGGCGCAAGCGUUGUCCGGAAUCAUUGGGCGUAAAGAGCGUGUAGGCGGCCAGAAAAGUCCGCUGUGAAAACUCGAGGCUCAACUUCGAGCUGUCGGUGGAAACUUUCUGGCUAGAGUCCGGAAGAGGAGAAUGGAAUUCCUGGUGUAGCGGUGAAAUGCGCAGAUAUCAGGAAGAACACCCGUGGCGAAGGCGGUUCUCUGGGACGGUACUGACGCUGAGACGCGAAAGCGUGGGGAGCGAACAGG